RNAcentral lists this ribosomal RNA (253 nucleotides) under uncultured bacterium. RNAcentral describes it as "partial 16S ribosomal RNA". It matches the Rfam family "Bacterial small subunit ribosomal RNA", at positions 524 to 776 of the family's 1533-position model. The record is from RNAcentral.
UACGUAGGGGGCUAGCGUUGUCCGGAAUCAUUGGGCGUAAAGAGCGUGUAGGCGGCCCGGUAAGUCCGCUGUGAAAGUCGGGGGCUCAACCCUCGAAUGCCGGUGGAUACUGUCGGGCUAGAGUGCGGAAGAGGCGAGUGGAAUUCCUGGUGUAGCGGUGAAAUGCGUAGAUAUCCGGAGGAACACCGGUGGCGAAGGCGGCUUCCUGGACCGAUACUGACGCUGAGGCGCGAAAGCUAGGGGAGCAAACGGG